GGCCCCUUAGCUCAGUCGGUCAGAGCAGACGACUCAUAAUCGUUUGGUCCCCAGUUCAAGUCCGGGAGGGGCCACCA
Molecule: transfer RNA, 77 nt
Filed under: Succinivibrionaceae bacterium
Lineage: Bacteria; Pseudomonadati; Pseudomonadota; Gammaproteobacteria; Aeromonadales; Succinivibrionaceae
Also listed under: 1 other name
Description: tRNA-Ile
Rfam family: tRNA
About the family: Transfer RNA (tRNA) molecules are approximately 80 nucleotides in length. Their secondary structure includes four short double-helical elements and three loops (D, anti-codon, and T loops). Further hydrogen bonds mediate the characteristic L-shaped molecular structure. tRNAs have two regions of fundamental functional importance: the anti-codon, which is responsible for specific mRNA codon recognition, and the 3' end, to which the tRNAs corresponding amino acid is attached (by aminoacyl-tRNA synthetases). tRNAs cope with the degeneracy of the genetic code in two manners: having more than one tRNA (with a specific anti-codon) for a particular amino acid; and 'wobble' base-pairing, i.e. permitting non-standard base-pairing at the 3rd anti-codon position.
Source: RNAcentral